Perognathus longimembris pacificus (Pacific pocket mouse) is the source of this 144-nucleotide long non-coding RNA. RefSeq lists it as uncharacterized. The transcript has 3 exons. Lineage: Eukaryota; Metazoa; Chordata; Mammalia; Rodentia; Heteromyidae. The record is from RefSeq and is a predicted model, not a curated record.
AUUUUCGGGGUAUGGGCCCGAGAGCUUAAAUUAGCUUACCUUACUAGAAUUUAGUGUAAUUGGUAGCACUAAGAAUUUUGAGUUCUUAAGUUAGGUUCGAGUCCUAUAAUUCUAGAAAUAAAAGGGCUAUACAGAUAGGAAGAG